Molecule: ribosomal RNA, 357 nt
Filed under: uncultured bacterium
Lineage: Bacteria
Description: bacterial SSU rRNA
Rfam family: Bacterial small subunit ribosomal RNA
Source: RNAcentral
GGGCUCACACAAGCGGUGGAGGAUGUGGCUUAAUUCGAGGCUACGCGAAGAACCUUAUCCAGGCCUUGACAUAGUUGGAUGCUGCCGGUGAAAGUCGGUUAGUUGCCUUCGGGUGAAACUUCUACAGGUGCUGCAUGGCUGUCGUCAGCUCGUGUCGUGAGAUGUCGGGUUAAGUCCCUUAACGAGCGAAACCCUUGUCUUCAGUUGCCAGCGUGUAAUGGCGGGGACUCUGAAGAGACUGCCGGUGUUAAACCGGAGGAAGGUGGGGAUGACGUCAAGUCCUCAUGGCCUUUAUGGCCUGGGCUGCACACGUCCUACAAUGCUACGGACAAAGGGCAGCAAGUUCGCGAGGACAAG